Hyalangium minutum is the source of this 73-nucleotide transfer RNA. It matches the Rfam family "tRNA". Rfam says of the family: Transfer RNA (tRNA) molecules are approximately 80 nucleotides in length. Their secondary structure includes four short double-helical elements and three loops (D, anti-codon, and T loops). NCBI's taxonomy places the organism in Bacteria, Pseudomonadati, Myxococcota, Myxococcia, Myxococcales, Archangiaceae. The record is from Rfam.
GCCGGUGUAGCUCAGUCGGUAGAGCAACUGAUUUGUAAUCAGUAGGUCGCGGGUUCAAGUCCCGCCGCCGGCC